GACGAACGCUGGCGGCGUGCCUAAUACAUGCAAGUGGAACGCACGAGGUACACCGUAGUUUACUACACCGUACUUUGUGAGUCGCGAACGGGUGAGUAACGCGUAGGUAACCUACCUUUUAGCGGGGGAUAACUAUUGGAAACGAUAGCUAAUACCGCAUAAGAUAUCUUACUGCAUGGUAAGAUAUUAAAAGAUGCAAUUGCAUCACUAAGAGAUGGACCUGCGUUGUAUUAGCUAGUAGGUGAGGUAACGGCUCACCUAGGCAACGAUACAUAGCCGACCUGAGAGGGUGAUCGGCCACACUGGGACUGAGACACGGCCCAGACUCCUACGGGAGGCAGCAGUAGGGAAUCUUCGGCAAUGGGGGGAACCCUGACCGAGCAACGCCGCGUGAGUGAAGAAGGUUUUCGGAUCGUAAAGCUCUGUUGUAAGAGAAGAACGAGUGUGAGAGUGGAAAGUUCACACUGUGACG
Molecule: ribosomal RNA, 472 nt
Filed under: Streptococcus sinensis
Lineage: Bacteria; Bacillati; Bacillota; Bacilli; Lactobacillales; Streptococcaceae
Description: bacterial SSU rRNA
Rfam family: Bacterial small subunit ribosomal RNA
Source: RNAcentral